GUAAAUGCACCAUACAUAAAAUACGACUACAUAAAUAUACGUAUUUUGUAACCGAUAAACAUAGUGACGCAGUCUAAAAAAAAUGCAUGACGUAGUUAUCGCGCGUUCUGUCAGCAGACGUAAACAUCGCUUAAAGUAAUGAUGGCGGCUGAGCCUGUGGUCAAACGGAUGAAAAACAAAAACUGGAACGCAUCGGAAACGACAAUUCUUGUCGAACGGUGUGUUGAAGGGUAUAGCCUUCUGUUUGGAAGUCAUUCGCCUUCGGUAACGGAAGGGAAAAAGGAUUUGUAUUGGAAGGAAACAAUUGAAAUGAUAAAUGCAGUUGGACCCGGUAGAAGUUUGCAUGAGGCAAAAAGAAAAUGGGUGGACCUAAAAAGUUCCACAAAGGCCAAAGAAAAAAAAAUUAAAAAGGAAGUGGGAAAAACAGGUGGUGGACCUGCGCCAGACAAGUUGACACCACUUGAAGAAAAGGGAACUUUUUAAAUGGAUCAACGACAAUUUCGGGUGCUGACUGUCAUUCCGAAAGCGUCCAUUGAAGGUGUCACUGCAGAGGGGGAUGUUUUUUUAGACAAUCUUAAAGGUAAUCUGAAUAAUUAAUAUACAUAAACAACCAGCAUAUAAUAAAAAUCCUCAUGAGAUAAUCCUCCAUUGAGGAGAAAUUUGAGACUGAAGAAGUGCAAUGUACACACAAUGAAAACAAAAUGGUUUCACUGGCUGAAAAUGUUGCACCACUUCAAUUGACUGAAAAUUUAAAAUUCCUGUAAAUUAAACUAUUUUAUUGAACAGUCACUUUGUCUAUGAUAUAGCAUCUCAAUAAGUUUCACCAACCUAGCUUAAGUAUAUUUUAUUUUAUGGUAAAUUAAAUAAAUGCAACUAGGUUACCUUUACGCCACUGCUAUCAAACACCGCAGCAUCAUGAGUCGCACCAGGCCAUCUUGACACGACAUCUUUGAACCUUAAAGAAUAGUACAUGAUUGUGUAAGUUUGAACCAGGUUUUAAAGAUAACCACAGUACAUACUUUGCAUUGACUCUGCCAAUGUCUUUAUCUGAUAAUGGCGGAGGUCCUGAAAAAUAAUAUGAAGGCACUUCUGUGAACACAAGUUAAAAUUGACUCUCCUUUCUCAAGAUGCAGCAUGUUUUUUUUUCUUUUAAGAUAUUAUGGGCAUUUUUUACUGUUGAAUUGAGCUGAAAAGAAUAAACAGGUCAAAAGAGUUAGUUAAAAUGUUGUAACAGACCAUUUAUCUGCUAUAAUUCAUCUUGCUACCAGUUGUUUAUAACAAGAGCUGUCAGAUGACAGCGUGCUCGACUAUUCGAGUGCUUGACAGUAUAACGUAAGCCAUCAUGGAGAGGAGGGUAUACUUUGGGGUGUGUCAUUUAAUUUAAUAUUCAAUUAUCUAAGUAUAAAAGGGGCCAUAAUGUUUUUUGGGCAUGUACAUAAAUAAACACUA
RNA transcript from Dreissena polymorpha, 1449 nucleotides. RefSeq lists it as uncharacterized. The transcript has 6 exons. The record is from RefSeq and is a predicted model, not a curated record. Lineage: Eukaryota; Metazoa; Mollusca; Bivalvia; Myida; Dreissenidae.